Molecule: unclassified non-coding RNA, 320 nt
Filed under: plant metagenome
Description: partial contains 5.8S ribosomal RNA, internal transcribed spacer 2, and large subunit ribosomal RNA
Rfam family: 5.8S ribosomal RNA (bases 1-105)
Source: RNAcentral
GAAAUGCGAUAAGUAAUGUGAAUUGCAGAAUUCAGUGAAUCAUCGAAUCUUUGAACGCACAUUGCGCCCGCCAGUAUUCUGGCGGGCAUGCCUGCUCGAGCGUCAUUACAACCCUCAGGCCCCCGGGCCUGGCGUUGGGGAUCGGCGGAAGCCCCCUGCGGGCACAACGCCGUCCCCCAAAUACAGUGGCGGUCCCGCCGCAGCUUCCAUUGCGUAGUAGCUAACACCUCGCAACUGGAGAGCGGCGCGGCCACGCCGUAAAACACCCAACUUCUGAAUGUUGACCUCGAAUCAGGUAGGAAUACCCGCUGAACUUAAGC